GAUGAACGCUGGCGGCGUGCCUAAUACAUGCAAGUCGAACGCAGAGGCGAGGAGUUUGCUCCUCUGACGUUUGGCGCACAGGUGUGAAAAACGUGUGGAUCAUCUCCCUUUAAGGCUGGUAUCACUUCGGAACACCGGCGCUUAUCGCAUAUGAUAUAUUGAUGCAUGUGGUUCACUUGAAAGAUACGGUUUUGCUGUUACUUAUAGAUGGUUCCGCGCCGAAUUAGCUAGUUGGUAAGGUAACGGCUUACGACGGCAACGAUGCGUAGCCGACCUGAGAGGGUGAUCGGCCACAUGGGAACUGAGACACGGUCCAGACUCCUACGGGAGGCAGCAGAAGGGAAUCUUCGGCAAGGGGCGAAAGCCUGACGGAGCAAGGCCGCGUGAGUGAUGAAGGUUUUCGGAUCGUAAAACUCGGUUAUUAGGGAAGAACAAAUGUGUAAGUAAAUAUGCACGUCGUGACGGUACCUAAUCAGAAAGCCACGGCUAACUACGUG
Molecule: ribosomal RNA, 497 nt
Filed under: uncultured bacterium
Lineage: Bacteria
Description: partial 16S ribosomal RNA
Rfam family: Bacterial small subunit ribosomal RNA
Source: RNAcentral